Molecule: ribosomal RNA, 253 nt
Filed under: uncultured bacterium
Lineage: Bacteria
Description: partial 16S ribosomal RNA
Rfam family: Bacterial small subunit ribosomal RNA
Source: RNAcentral
AACGUAGGGGGCGAGCGUUAUCCGGAAUUAUUGGGCGUAAAGAGCACGUAGGCGGCGCUACAAGUUGGGCGUGAAAGCUCUCGGCUUAACCGGGAGAGGUCGUUCAAAACUGUAGGGCUUGAGGUUGAUAGAGGAGAGUAGAAUUCCCGGUGUAGUGGUGGAAUGCGUAGAUAUCGGGAGGAAUACCAGUGGCGAAAGCGGCUCUCUGGAUCACACCUGACGCUGAGGUGCGAAAGCGUGGGUAGCAAACAGG